UUUAUCUUUUCUGAUUUGUUUAUGAAACUGUAGACAAGAGUUGGUGUCUGUUUUCAUGUGCUUUCUUGUGCAUAUCAGCAUAUGUUUUCUGGCCCUGGAACAAACAAGCAGAUGAUGAUUUAAUUAUUUGACUGAAUCUCGAUCGUAUAAUAAGGUCCAAGUAGUGUAUGCUUAAGAGAAAUUUUGGAGUGCUUACUGCCAAGUAUUUGUUUCAAAAAUCAUCCGUCAACAUCUAAACUCAAUAGACUUAGUUUUGCAUUUUACAAAAUGUCAAAAAUAUAGAAACCAGUUGAUGAUUUUGCAGACCUGACGAGGUGGAGAAGAAGGACCACC
Molecule: long non-coding RNA, 333 nt
Filed under: Hordeum vulgare
Lineage: Eukaryota; Viridiplantae; Streptophyta; Magnoliopsida; Poales; Poaceae
Description: long non-coding RNA (HVUL_LNC008774)
Source: RNAcentral